GGUUCGGGAGCCGCGCGGUGGGACGGGCGGCAAGUAUGGAACCUCACCCCUGCAUUCGUAGGCCGCGCCUCGGGGGCCCCGACCCGAGACGCG
Paracoccus saliphilus is the source of this 93-nucleotide non-coding RNA. The record is from Rfam. NCBI's taxonomy places the organism in Bacteria, Pseudomonadati, Pseudomonadota, Alphaproteobacteria, Rhodobacterales, Paracoccaceae.